UUAAUUCUGGGCCCGGGUGAAGCUAGCUACCGGCUUAACACAAUGAAAGUCGAGGGAAAACGGCGCGGCAGUUUCUUCCCGCGGCUCCCGACCGGCGAUGGGUGAAGUACAACGUAUCCCACCCUGCCCCCAGGCAAAGGGAAUAAUCCCAUAGAAAAUGUGGCCUAAUACCUUUGUGGGUCGGAGGAGGGCUUCAGCUUUGAAUAAAGACUUGUCGCCUGGGGAUGGGGAUGCGCCUGAUUAGCUUGUUGGCGGGGCAACGGCCCACCAAGGCAACGAUCAGUAGGGGUUCUGAGAGGAAAGUCCCCCACAUUGGAACUGAGACACGGUCCAAACUCCUACGGGAGGCAGCAGUGAGGAAUAUUGGUCAAUGGCCGUAAGGCUGAACCAGCCAAGUAGCGUGCAGGAGGACGGCCCUAUGGGUUGUAAACUGCUUUUGUACGGGGACAAAGUGUGCGACGUGUCGCCCAUUGCGGGUACCGUACGAAUAAGGACCGGCUAAUUCCGUGCCAGCAGCCGCGGUAAUACGGAAGGUCCGGGCGUUAUCCGGAUUUAUUGGGUUUAAAGGGAGCGCAGGCCGCCUGUCAAGCGUGUUGUGAAAUGUAGGGGCCCAACCCCUGAGUUGCAGCGCGAACUGGCGGGCUUGAGUACGCACAACGCUGGUGGAACUCGCCGUGUAGCGGUGAAAUGCUUAGAUAUGGCGAAGAACUCCGAUUGCGAAGGCAGCUGGCGGGGGCGCAACUGACGCUCGUGCUCGAAAGUGCGGGUAUCGAACAGGAUUAGAUACCCUGGUAGUCCGCACGGUAAACGAUGGAUGCCCGCUAUGCGCGCUUAGUCGUGCGUGGCCAAGCGAAAGCGUUAAGCAUCCCACCUGGGGAGUACGCCGGCAACGGUGAAACUCAAAGGAAUUGACGGGGGCCCGCACAAGCGGAGGAACAUGUGGUUUAAUUCGAUGAUACGCGAGGAACCUUACCCGGGCUUGAAUUGCAGACGAACGACCAAGAAAUUGGAAGGCCCUCCGGGGCGUCUGUGAAGGUGCUGCAUGGUUGUCGUCAGCUCGUGCCGUGAGGUGUCGGCUCAAGUGCCAUAACGAGCGCAACCCCUCUCCGUAGUUGCCAUCAGGCUAUGCUGGGCACUCUGCGGACACUGCCACCGUAAGGUGCGAGGAAGGUGGGGAUGACGUCAAAUCAGCACAGCCCUUACGUCCGGGGCUACACACGUGUUACAAUGGCCGGUACAGAGCGCCGCGCGCCCGCAAGGUCGCGCCAAUCGCGAAACCCGGCCUCAGUUCGGACUGGGGUCUGCAACCCGACCCCACGAAGCUGGAUUCGCUAGUAAUCGCGCAUCAGCCAUGGCGCGGUGAAUACGUUCCCGGGCCUUGCACACACCGCCCG
Molecule: ribosomal RNA, 1394 nt
Filed under: uncultured bacterium
Lineage: Bacteria
Description: bacterial SSU rRNA
Rfam family: Bacterial small subunit ribosomal RNA
Source: RNAcentral